This 527-nucleotide ribosomal RNA is filed under the name uncultured bacterium. RNAcentral's name for it is "bacterial SSU rRNA". It matches the Rfam family "Bacterial small subunit ribosomal RNA", at positions 777 to 1304 of the family's 1533-position model. The record is from RNAcentral.
AAUAGAUACCCCUGGUAGUCCACGCUGUAAACGUUGGGCGCUAGGUGUGGGGGGCCUCUCCGGUUCUCUGUGCCGCAGCUAACGCAUUAAGCGCCCCGCCUGGGGAGUACGGCCGCAAGGCUAAACUCAAAGGGAAUUGACGGGGCCCGCACAAGCGGCGGAGCAUGCGGAUUAAUUCGAUGCAACGCGAAGAACCUUACCUGGGUUUGACAUGGCCGCAAAACCGGCAGAGAUGUCGGGUCCUUCGGGGGCGGUCACAGGUGGUGCAUGGCUGUCGUCAGCUCGUGUCGUGAGAUGUUGGGUUAAGUCCCGCAACGAGCGCAACCCUCGUUCGAUGUUGCCAGCGCGUUAUGGCGGGGACUCAUCGAAGACUGCCGGGGUCAACUCGGAGGAAGGUGGGGAUGACGUCAAGUCAUCAUGCCCCUUAUGUCCAGGGCUUCACGCAUGCUACAAUGGCCGGUACAAUGGGCUGCGAUACCGUGAGGUGGAGCGAAUCCCAAAAAGCCGGUCUCAGUUCGGAUCGGGGU